Long non-coding RNA from Xenopus laevis (African clawed frog), 808 nucleotides. RefSeq lists it as uncharacterized. Lineage: Eukaryota; Metazoa; Chordata; Amphibia; Anura; Pipidae. The record is from RefSeq and is a predicted model, not a curated record. The transcript has 4 exons.
GGACUGGCUGUGGGCAUAGCUAUGGUCAUGUAUGGUCGAAUGGAAGAAGCAGAUGCGCUGAUAGCCUCUGCAGAGACAAGGUGAGUGAUGUCAAUGAUGAUGUUAGAAGAGCAGCUGUAGAAUCUCUGGGCUUCAUCCUGUUCAGCCACUUCUGAUGACGUCACUUCCCAUUUCCAGCAACGGCACUUCCUGCUUUAUGUUGGUCAGCGAGUCGCGGAUCAGUUUGCGGGUCAGGCAGUCACUGCUGUACAUAAUCCCAACCCUGCAAGGGGCCUGUCUCCUACAGUAAACUGAGUCCCAAUCCAAAAAAGAGGAGGGCCCAUGAACCUGCAAGAAAAUUGAACAUGGGAAAUUGAAAUGUAUAUCCACGCUAUUUACAAAUAAUAUAGAGAAGUUAGCUAAUCGGUUAUGAAGUUAUAGAGUAGGUAAGGAUCAGCCACAUGUAAUUGUCCCAUCCUACUGGUGUAGCAUUGUUGUAUAAUGUCCAUAUAUAUAAAUGAGUCUUUUAGAUCAUGUGAUAGAGGAAUCCAUAAUAAAGAUAAGUCAAAGAACAAUUGUAUUAAGUAUCAUUAUUACUUGGCGUCAAAUUAUUGUUAGGUUUCCUACGAGUAUCCUCUGGUUAGGGGUUAGACUAAUGGGGAGAGUUUCAUUGAGUCCUUUAGGGGCCAAAACAUCAAGUUUAUAAAUCCACAUUGAUUCUUUACGUAUCAACAUUAUGUCCCUGUCCCCUAUUAUAUGCACAAUUUUCCUGAAGACGCUCAAGAACUAGAGCCAAAACGUUGAGAAUAAAUGUUGUUGUUUUUGACAC